GUUAUCCUGUCUGAAUAUGGGGGGACCAUCCUCCAAGGCUAAAUACUCCUGACUGACCGAUAGUGAACCAGUACCGUGAGGGAAAGGCGAAAAGAACCCCGGCGAGGGGAGUGAAAAAGAACCUGAAACCGUGUACGUACAAGCAGUGGGAGCACAGAGCAAUCUGUGUGACUGCGUACCUUUUGUAUAAUGGGUCAGCGACUUAUAUUCUGUAGCAAGGUUAACCGAAUAGGGGAGCCGAAGGGAAACCGAGUCUUAACUGGGCGUUAAGUUGCAGGGUAUAGACCCGAAACCCGGUGAUCUAGCCAUGGGCAGGUUGAAGGUUGGGUAACACUAACUGGAGGACCGAACCGACUAAUGUUGAAAAAUUAGCGGAUGACUUGUGGCUGGGGGUGAAAGGCCAAUCAAACCGGGAGAUAGCUGGUUCUCCCCGAAAGCUAUUUAGGUAGCGCCUCGUGAAUUCAUCUCCGGGGGUAGAGCACUGUUUCGGCAAGGGGGUCAUCCCGACUUACCAACCCGAUGCAAACUGCGAAUACCGGAGAAUGUUAUCACGGGAGACACACGGCGGGUGCUAACGUCCGUCGUGAAGAGGGAAACAACCCAGACCGCCAGCUAAGGUCCCAAAGUCAUGGUUAAGUGGGAAACGAUGUGGGAAGGCCCAGACAGCCAGGAUGUUGGCUUAGAAGCAGCCAUCAUUUAAAGAAAGCGUAAUAGCUCACUGGUCGAGUCGGCCUGCGCGGAAGAUGUAACGGGGCUAAACCAUGCACCGAAGCUGCGGCAGCGACGCUGAUGCGUUGUUGGGUAGGGGAGCGUUCUGUAAGCCUGUGAAGGUGUGCUGUGAGGCAUGCUGGAGGUAUCAGAAGUGCGAAUGCUGACAUAAGUAACGAUAAAGCGGGUGAAAAGCCCGCUCGCCGGAAGACCAAGGGUUCCUGUCCAACGUUAAUCGGGGCAGGGUGAGUCGACCCCUAAGGCGAGGCCGAAAGGCGUAGUCGAUGGGAAACAGGUUAAUAUUCCUGUACUUGGUGUUACUGCGAAGGGGGGACGGAGAAGGCUAUGUUGGCCGGGCGACGGUUGUCCCGGUUUAAGCGUGUAGGCUGGUUUUCCAGGCAAAUCCGGAAAAUCAAGGCUGAGGCGUGAUGACGAGGCACUACGGUGCUGAAGCAACAAAUGCCCUGCUUCCAGGAAAAGCCUCUAAGCAUCAGGUAACAUCAAAUCGUACCCCAAACCGACACAGGUGGUCAGGUAGAGAAUACCAAGGCGCUUGAGAGAACUCGGGUGAAGGAACUAGGCAAAAUGGUGCCGUAACUUCGGGAGAAGGCACGCUGAUAUGUAGGUGAAGUCCCUCGCGGAUGGAGCUGAAAUCAGUCGAAGAUACCAGCUGGCUGCAACUGUUUAUUAAAAACACAGCACUGUGCAAACACGAAAGUGGACGUAUACGGUGUGACGCCUGCCCGGUGCCGGAAGGUUAAUUGAUGGGGUUAGCGCAAGCGAAGCUCUUGAUCGAAGCCCCGGUAAACGGCGGCCGUAACUAUAACGGUCCUAAGGUAGCGAAAUUCCUUGUCGGGUAAGUUCCGACCUGCACGAAUGGCGUAAUGAUGGCCAGGCUGUCUCCACCCGAGACUCAGUGAAAUUGAACUCGCUGUGAAGAUGCAGUGUACCCGCGGCAAGACGGAAAGACCCCGUGAACCUUUACUAUAGCUUGACACUGAACAUUGAGCCUUGAUGUGUAGGAUAGGUGGGAGGCUUUGAAGUGUGGACGCCAGUCUGCAUGGAGCCGACCUUGAAAUACCACCCUUUAAUGUUUGAUGUUCUAACGUUGACCCGUGAUCCGGGUUGCGGACAGUGUCUGGUGGGUAGUUUGACUGGGGCGGUCUCCUCCUAAAGAGUAACGGAGGAGCACGAAGGUUGGCUAAUCCUGGUCGGACAUCAGGAGGUUAGUGCAAUGGCAUAAGCCAGCUUGACUGCGAGCGUGACGGCGCGAGCAGGUGCGAAAGCAGGUCAUAGUGAUCCGGUGGUUCUGAAUGGAAGGGCCAUCGCUCAACGGAUAAAAGGUACUCCGGGGAUAACAGGCUGAUACCGCCCAAGAGUUCAUAUCGACGGCGGUGUUUGGCACCUCGAUGUCGGCUCAUCACAUCCUGGGGCUGAAGUAGGUCCCAAGGGUAUGGCUGUUCGCCAUUUAAAGUGGUACGCGAGCUGGGUUUAGAACGUCGUGAGACAGUUCGGUCCCUAUCUGCCGUGGGCGCUGGAGAACUGAGGGGGGCUGCUCCUAGUACGAGAGGACCGGAGUGGACGCAUCACUGGUGUUCGGGUUGUCAUGCCAAUGGCACUGCCCGGUAGCUAAAUGCGGAAGAGAUAAGUGCUGAAAGCAUCUAAGCACGAAACUUGCCCCGAGAUGAGUUCUCCCUGACUCCUUGAGAGUCCUGAAGGAACGUUGAAGACGACGACGUUGAUAGGCCGGGUGUGUAAGCGCAGCGAUGCGUUGAGCUAACCGGUACUAAUGAACCGUGAGGCUUAACCUUACAACGCCGAAG
RNAcentral lists this ribosomal RNA (2531 nucleotides) under Escherichia coli. RNAcentral describes it as "bacterial LSU rRNA". It matches the Rfam family "Bacterial large subunit ribosomal RNA", at positions 428 to 2925 of the family's 2925-position model. Lineage: Bacteria; Pseudomonadati; Pseudomonadota; Gammaproteobacteria; Enterobacterales; Enterobacteriaceae. The record is from RNAcentral.